Molecule: RNA transcript, 1099 nt
Organism: Tarenaya hassleriana
Lineage: Eukaryota; Viridiplantae; Streptophyta; Magnoliopsida; Brassicales; Cleomaceae
Gene name: protein FATTY ACID EXPORT 1, chloroplastic
Exons: 8
Source: RefSeq, a predicted model, not a curated record
CGUUUUUUUUUUCCAGUGGUCGAUUGCUACGUACGCUCCGAUAUCUGCGAUGGCUGUGUCAAUGGCGGCGAAAAUGUCUCAGCUUGCUUGUUUCUCCUCGGCGAACCGCCAAUUCCACUUGCAGAGCAGGUCAUUUGUGUGCCCUAGGCUUCGUAACCAGUCUUUUGUGGUUAGGAGCAUUGACGGGAAUAGCUCCAGAACUGCGGGUUCUGAGAACAGAACUUCUCUAAGUUAUACAGCUGAGGUCUCAGAUCCUUUUGGUGAAAAGACGACGGAACCGUUUUCUACUUUGGAUGAGAAUGUUACCAGUAAAAGAGAUACAGUCGUGUCUGCAGAGCAACAUGUAGUUACAGAACAGAAAAGGGCUGCAAAGAUCCACGACUUCUGCUUUGGCAUUCCUUAUGGUGGUGUCAUUUUGGGUGGAGGUCUUCUUGGCUCCAUAUUGUCACGAAACCUCACAACUUUAAGUGCGGGUGUGCUCUAUGGUGGUGUCCUUCUGGCUCUUAGCACAAUAAGUUUAAAGAUCUGGCGUCAAGGAAAAUCUAGUUUUCCGUUCAUACUAGGACAAGCAGUGGUUUCAGCUGUCCUCUUCUGGAAGAACUUCAAGGCUUAUUCCAUGACGAAGAAGCUGAUACCAACUGGGUUGUAUGCUGCCAUCAGUGCUGCGAUGCUGUGCUUCUAUUCAUAUGUGGUGCUCUCUGGAGGAAAUCCACCUCCGAAGAAGUUAAAGUCAUCUACUAGUCCUUCAUACUGAAGAAAUUCACAUAGCGAAUCCAAAUUCUAUGCUGGGCAUCCUCCCUUGUCAUCUACCGGAUGGAAGCUCCAUUGCUGCUACAAGUUACCAUCUUUUGAAUUUACUGCAGGUUCCAUCCACGUGGCGCGAGCCGAAGCAGCUGAAAGAGGGGGGGUCCCUUACCACAUAUGGCUCCCGCCUAUGUUUUUACAAAAGUGGUGCCACUUUGUUGAGACAUGAAAUUCUGCCAUUAGACUAAAUGCUCGGUCUUGUUCUUCCUAACCUUGUCUGCUCAGUUUCCAGGACUUUUAGGCGUCUUUUCACGUUAUCUGAAGUCUUUUCAAUGCCUUGUUAGUUGCUUUCCAU